AUGAAACUCUUAUGCUGGAACUGUCGCGGGAUAGGCGAUCCUGCAACAGUUCGUGAACUCCGCGACCUCGUGGAGAUUAGUUCGCCUGCUAUCUUAUGUUUAGUCGAAACUCAAUUGCAAAAAAGUCAUGUUGAAGGUCUUCGGACUAUGUUAGGUUAUGAUUUCAGUUUUGGAGUUGGUAGUACGGGGCGCAGUGGCGGCCUAUGUAUCUUUUGGAAAAACUCUUUUGAGUUUGCAAUAAAGAACUAUUCUGAGUAUCAUGUUGAUUCAUGGGUCAAAGAACCAGGGAAAGAGCAAUGGAGGUUAACGUGUUUCUAUGGAGAGGCCACUAGAAGCCUACGAUACAAGACUUGGGAUACUAUGAAGCGUUUGCGGGGUGAGAGCACUCUCCCCUGGCUGUGUAUAGGUGAUUUCAACGAGAUCUUGCGGCCGGAAGAGCAACAUGGCCCUCGUGAGCGGGACAACUCACAAAUUGAUGCCUUCAGAGAAGCGGUAGACAUAUGUGGCCUAGCGGAUCUGGGAUAUCGAGGAUUAGACUGGACUUGGGAGAAGAAGGUCGCCGGCGGUCAAUACUGUCGCGUUCGCUUGGACAGAGCCUUGGCUACACCAUGUUGGUCGAACCUUUUUCCGUUUGCUUUCCUUGAACAUCUCACGGCGGCAAAGUCAGACCACUGUCCAAUCCUAUUGGAGACUGAUCUAGCUGACACAAGUGUUCGGGCCAGCCAGAAGCGAUUUCGCUAUGAAUGCAUGUGGGAGAGGGACGAGCGCUUUGGUGACACUCUGUCUGAAGCUUGGAAUUCAACGGGCCGAGCCAGCACUGUUGUAACGCCCCCGAUUUAA
Molecule: ribosomal RNA, 840 nt
Filed under: Triticum aestivum (bread wheat)
Lineage: Eukaryota; Viridiplantae; Streptophyta; Magnoliopsida; Poales; Poaceae
Description: partial small subunit ribosomal RNA
Source: RNAcentral